Molecule: non-coding RNA, 29 nt
Filed under: Rattus norvegicus (Norway rat)
Lineage: Eukaryota; Metazoa; Chordata; Mammalia; Rodentia; Muridae
Source: RNAcentral
UGAGGCCUGAGCAACAAGCAUUGUGGAUU